This 1336-nucleotide ribosomal RNA is filed under the name Mycolicibacterium septicum. RNAcentral's name for it is "Mycobacterium septicum 16S ribosomal RNA". It matches the Rfam family "Bacterial small subunit ribosomal RNA", at positions 91 to 1440 of the family's 1533-position model. The record is from RNAcentral. Lineage: Bacteria; Bacillati; Actinomycetota; Actinomycetes; Mycobacteriales; Mycobacteriaceae.
UCGAGUGGCGAACGGGUGAGUAACACGUGGGUGAUCUGCCCUGCACUUUGGGAUAAGCCUGGGAAACUGGGUCUAAUACCGAAUAUGACCGCGCACUUCCUGGUGUGUGGUGGAAAGCUUUUGCGGUGUGGGAUGGGCCCGCGGCCUAUCAGCUUGUUGGUGGGGUAAUGGCCUACCAAGGCGACGACGGGUAGCCGGCCUGAGAGGGUGACCGGCCACACUGGGACUGAGAUACGGCCCAGACUCCUACGGGAGGCAGCAGUGGGGAAUAUUGCACAAUGGGCGCAAGCCUGAUGCAGCGACGCCGCGUGAGGGAUGACGGCCUUCGGGUUGUAAACCUCUUUCAAUAGGGACGAAGCGCAAGUGACGGUACCUAUAGAAGAAGGACCGGCCAACUACGUGCCAGCAGCCGCGGUAAUACGUAGGGUCCGAGCGUUGUCCGGAAUUACUGGCGUAAAGAGCUCGUAGGUGGUUUGUCGCGUUGUUCGUGAAAACUCACAGCUUAACUGUGGGCGUGCGGGCGAUACGGGCAGACUAGAGUACUGCAGGGGAGACUGGAAUUCCUGGUGUAGCGGUGGAAUGCGCAGAUAUCAGGAGGAACACCGGUGGCGAAGGCGGGUCUCUGGGCAGUAACUGACGCUGAGGAGCGAAAGCGUGGGGAGCGAACAGGAUUAGAUACCCUGGUAGUCCACGCCGUAAACGGUGGGUACUAGGUGUGGGUUUCCUUCCUUGGGAUCCGUGCCGUAGCUAACGCAUUAAGUACCCCGCCUGGGGAGUACGGCCGCAAGGCUAAAACUCAAAGAAAUUGACGGGGGCCCGCACAAGCGGCGGAGCAUGUGGAUUAAUUCGAUGCAACGCGAAGAACCUUACCUGGGUUUGACAUGCACAGGACGCCGGCAGAGAUGUCGGUUCCCUUGUGGCCUGUGUGCAGGUGGUGCAUGGCUGUCGUCAGCUCGUGUCGUGAGAUGUUGGGUUAAGUCCCGCAACGAGCGCAACCCUUGUCUCAUGUUGCCAGCACGUAAUGGUGGGGACUCGUGAGAGACUGCCGGGGUCAACUCGGAGGAAGGUGGGGAUGACGUCAAGUCAUCAUGCCCCUUAUGUCCACGGCUUCACACAUGCUACAAUGGCCGGUACAAAGGGCUGCGAUGCCGUGAGGUGGAGCGAAUCCUUUCAAAGCCGGUCUCAGUUCGGAUCGGGGUCUGCAACUCGACCCCGUGAAGUCGGAGUCGCUAGUAAUCGCAGAUCAGCAACGCUGCGGUGAAUACGUUCCCGGGCCUUGUACACACCGCCCGUCACGUCAUGAAAGUCGGUAACACCCGAAGCCGGUGGCCUAACC